AUUAAUAAUGAAGCGUCAUUAGUCCGAAUGCAAACCGUGCCGUGACCUCACACUGUACACCGCUUGAUUAGUUAAACUUAGCAACAGAUUAAUUUACAAAUAAACCCGCUUGAUAACAUAAUCCUUAAUAAAGUGAAAAAAAGACGCUCCGGCUAAUGUUAGUUCGAUUAAGUUGUGUUUUCACUGACCAGCGUCGGUAUUCUGCGAUUUAAUCACUAAAACAGCAACUCUUUUGCAAAUAACUCGAAAACGAUGCCGGAUGCAAAACAAAUACUAGAGACUGAAAAGUGUCGCAACUGGACAAACAACUUUAGCAAAACUUGUUGGAACUCAGUGGCGCUCCACAAAAAAGUUCCAGGUGGUAAAAGGGACUAAAAAAUUACCACCCUAGUGCAGACAGCCAUGGAUCCAAAAAACAUAUACAGGGUGUAAACAAAAACCCAAAAUCAACCACAUUUUCUACCCAUCCUGUAUAUACCUACUCCUAGACUGGCGUAAAACUAUUCAGGGUGAGUCUUGGAUUGUAUAUGAAAUAUAAAUUCGGUUCAUUAAACAUUGCAAAGCCUA
Long non-coding RNA from Dendroctonus ponderosae (mountain pine beetle), 567 nucleotides. RefSeq lists it as uncharacterized. Lineage: Eukaryota; Metazoa; Arthropoda; Insecta; Coleoptera; Curculionidae. The transcript is spliced from 3 exons. The record is from RefSeq and is a predicted model, not a curated record.